UUAACUCAAAUUUGUAUGGAGUUGGAACUUUUGCCUAUGUUUGCCGCUAGGGGCGCUGUUCCAACUCUAUACAAAUUUGAGUUA
RNAcentral lists this microRNA precursor (84 nucleotides) under Bombyx mori (domestic silkworm). RNAcentral's name for it is "mir-2807 microRNA precursor family". It matches the Rfam family "mir-2807 microRNA precursor family". Lineage: Eukaryota; Metazoa; Arthropoda; Insecta; Lepidoptera; Bombycidae. The record is from Rfam by way of RNAcentral.